Molecule: ribosomal RNA, 775 nt
Filed under: uncultured Neocallimastigales
Lineage: Eukaryota; Fungi; Neocallimastigomycota; Neocallimastigomycetes; Neocallimastigales
Description: partial large subunit ribosomal RNA
Rfam family: Eukaryotic large subunit ribosomal RNA
Source: RNAcentral
UAUGUGAUCGUCUCUCGCAUAUCAAUAAGCGGAGGAAAAGAAACUAACAAGGAUUCCCCUAGUAACGGCGAGUGAAGCGGGAAGAGCUCAAAUUUGAAAUCUUAAAGGGUUUCCCUUUACGAAUUGUAGUUUAAAGAAGUGUUUUCUGUUGAGGUUUUGGUAAAAGUUCUUUGGAAUAGGACAUCAUAGAGGGUGAGAAUCCCGUAUUUGACCUUUACUUUCAACUUUGUGAUACACUUUCAAAGAGUCGGAUUGUUUGGGGAAUGCAGUCCAAAAUGGGUGGUAAAUUUCAUCUAAAGCUAAAUAUUGGCGAGAGACCGAUAGCGAACAAGUACCGUGAGGGAAAGAUGAAAAGAACUUUGAAAAGAGAGUUAAACAGUACGUGAAAUUGUCAAAAGGGAAGCGUUUGACACCAGUGUUGUUUUUCUGAAAAUCAAUUAAAGAACUGUUUAUGCUAAGCUGUUUAGACUUUAUCAGCUAUCUGUUUAGUUUUAGGCUUUUCUUUAAUGCACUUUUCAGUUAACAAGUCAACAUCAAUUUCUUUUGCUGUAAAAAAGCUUGAGGAAGGUGGCUUGAGAUUCGUCUUAAGGGUUUAUAGCCUCUUGCCUAUGCAGUCGGAGAGAUUGAGGUCUGCAGCGUAGAUCCUUCGGGGCUGAAUGCAUUUGUGCUAAGUUAUAGCAUUUUAUAGACAACUUGUUGACUAUGAUUUGUCUUGUAGCUUACUCGCUUAUGUUAUUUUACCUACGCUUAGGAUGUUGAUCUACAGAGCGAGAGU